This 29-nucleotide non-coding RNA is filed under the name Mus musculus (house mouse). The record is from RNAcentral. Lineage: Eukaryota; Metazoa; Chordata; Mammalia; Rodentia; Muridae.
UUGGUGCUGGAGUUAACAGGCUUUCGUGA